UGAACUCGCUUCUAUUAUAGCCCCUUUUGUUUCGCCUUAACAAUCGGUCUUUAUUCCAGUCCUGUACUUGGCACUGUUUAGCUGCCUGACUCCAAACUUCACCACCCUGCCUCCUGCUUAAAGCACUCAAAUUGCCCUCUUCUGCAAAUAUAUGGUGAAUGCGGUGGGGCCUCGCCACAGUCUGACACAUCAGUUGUCUGGGCUAUAAUUCUAUAAUCUAUUACAUAUUAUUAUACACGACCACACGGCCAAAGAACAGACAGACUGCCUCAUUCAGAGAAAGAGUGUGAAAAAAACAAGGACUGAAGGGAGUUCGGGUUUUAAAACUUUGUAAAGCGGUGUUCUCAGGACUGAGAGAAGGCGUGUCUAGCUGCACUUUACCUGUUUUGCAGAAUUCCUUCGUCUUUUUUAAAAGGGCAUGCACCCGAGCUGAAUGGCAACACCCAGACCACGGACAGCAGAAAGGUUUACUGCCAUGUCAGAGCGAAGAGGCCCGAGCAGAGCCUGAAGUUCGACUGGAUAGCUACCCAGCUGAGUGAGAUGGGGUUGCAGGAGCUGCCCAACCUGGAAGUUGUGACUGAAGCGAUGUAGGAGCUGACAACGGUAUCCCUGAUGGGAUUUCAUGUGUGGCUGGGCCCCCUUGACAAUGAGAUGCACACCUGAAAGGAGUCUCUUCCUGGAUUAACAAUAAUCAACAUGGAAUAGCAAUAGCAAUACUAAUACAAAUGCACGUCUGCAGCAGCCCAGAGACCGGAGAGUCUCAAUGGACUUCGGUCACAGAGGAGGAGGGACAGGGUCCAGCUUCAAAAACAUCAGCGUUCAUUUCAAGCUUGAGCACUGUUGAGUGCGGAUGAUUCAUCUGAAACAGCAGAGACCCUGUGCUGUGACAUACAGCAAUGGAAAUCGGAUAUGAGAACGGACACAGAAUGUGUCACUGUGUGUAGUGAUGUUACACCAUGCAUAACCCGUACUGCACGACGUCUCAUAGGAGUUCUUGACGACAGACUAAUAUUUUUGGGCAAGAUGUCAUCUCUUACAACACAAUAAACACGGCCCUUUUUAAACUUAUAAAUAAAAACAAGCCUGCUGAAAACAGUUUGUCCAGACAGCUGUUUAAAUAUGAGAGGUCUCCACAAUUAAAUUCUACGGCACUGCAAUACACACCCUGGCACUAAUUUACAGUGUAUUAUUCAUUACAUUUAGAGUCACAUGAAAGGGAAAUAGGAUCACAGCUGCUGAGCUGCUGUAAGUCCAGGGCGAGUAAAUGCAAACAGAAGGCUGCUGCUAGUUCCCAUUGUGUUCUCACUGCAUUGCAUGAGCGGGGCCUUCAUUCAGGUGCCAGCGGUACCGCUGUGGCACCAUCUUGUGGUCCUCUUGUCAUUCCAUUUGAUUUAUUCAUAUUCUAUCAUUCUGGGUUUCUUUGAUUUUUGCUUCACAUGUAGGCUGUGUGCUUGAGAGCUUAUGGUGGGUGCUUAUUUCAUCCUCGUUGAAUGAAAGCUUUGUCCUAAUGACCAUGACAGAUUCUACAAAUAGCACAAGAAUAAAGGCUGGCCACCAAGCUUACUGUAACCGACCCAGCCUGAAAUCCCCUGAUCCAUUGAAUUAACUUAUUGCUCUGAUUCUCACUUGUGAUAGCUAUGUUAUUGUGUGUUGGUGGAGAGGCAGAGACAUUCACAAUGGUACACUGAUCACCACAAAUACAGACUGCCAACACAGAGGUGCACAUUAAUAGUAAUAGCUGGAUAGGUAUUACAUUGCAUUGGCUUUUUAGAUGAAUGUAAUGUUAUUAGAAGCCUAUGCUGCCUUUGAAGCAUGUCUGUUAGCCCCUAUUAUUAAAGGAAUCAAAAAUCAAUAUUU
Long non-coding RNA from Polyodon spathula (Mississippi paddlefish), 1857 nucleotides. RefSeq lists it as uncharacterized. The record is from RefSeq and is a predicted model, not a curated record. The transcript has 4 exons. Lineage: Eukaryota; Metazoa; Chordata; Actinopteri; Acipenseriformes; Polyodontidae.